CCUACGGGCGGCAGCAGUAGGGAAUUUUCCACAAUGGACGAAAGUCUGAUGGAGCAACGCCGCGUGAGUGAAGAAGGGUUUCGGCUCGUAAAGCUCUGUUGGUAGUGAAGAAAGAUAGAGGUAGUAACUGGCCUUGAUUUGACGGUAAUUACAUAGAAAGUCACGGCUAACGACGUGCCAGCAGCCGCGGUAAUACGUAGGUGGCAAGCGUUAUCCGGAUUUAUUUGGCGGAAGGGGAGGGCAGGCGGUUCAAUAAGUCUGAGGUGAAAGCCUUCGGCCCCACCAGAGAAUUGCAUCAGAAACUGUUGAACUUGAGUGCGGAAGAGGAGAGUGGAACUCCAUGUGUAGCGGUGGAAUGCGUAGAUAUAUGGAAGAACACCAGUGGCGAAGGCGGCUCUCUGGUCUGCAACUGACGCUGAGGCUCGAAAGCAUGGGUAGCGAACAGGAUUAGAUACCCCAGUAGUC
RNAcentral lists this ribosomal RNA (465 nucleotides) under uncultured bacterium. RNAcentral describes it as "partial 16S ribosomal RNA". It matches the Rfam family "Bacterial small subunit ribosomal RNA", at positions 338 to 795 of the family's 1533-position model. The record is from RNAcentral.